ACGAGACAGAAAGUUAACAAGGAUACCCAGGAAUUGAACUCAGCUCUGCACCAAGCGGGCCUAAUAGACAUCUACAGAGCUCUCCACCCCAAAUCAACAGAAUAUACAUUUUUUCAGCACCACACCACACCUAUUCCAAAAUUGACCACAUAGUUGGAAGUAAAGCUCUCCUCAGCAAAUGUAAAAGAACAGAAAUUAUAACAAACUGUCUCUCCGACCACAGUGCAAUCAAACUAGAACUCAGGAUUAAGAAACUCACUCAAAACUGCUCAACUACAUGGAAACUGAACAACCUGCUCCUGAAUGACUACUGGGUACAUAACGAAAUGAAGGCAGAAAUAAAGAUAUUCUUUGAAACCAACGAGAACAAAGACACAACAUACCAGAUCUCUGGGACACAUUCAAAGCAGUGUGUAGAGGGAAAUUUAUAGCACUAAAUGCCCACAAGAGAAAGCAGGAAAGAUCCAAAAUUGACACCCUAACAUCACAAUUAAAAGAACUAGAAAAGCAAGAGCAAACACAUUCAAAAGCUAGCAGAAGGCAAGAAAUAACUAAGAUCAGAGCAGAACUGAAGGGAAUAGAGACACAAAAAAACCCUUCAAAAAAUUAAUGAAUCCAGGAGCUGGUUUUUUGAAAGAGAUUAGUAUUUUAAGAAAAAAUAAAAUUUUGAUAAAGUGAGAAAACUGGAUUGCAAAAGUUUGAGAUAAGGUGAUUGAUUGGUUAGGAUUCCGUUGGAAGACUUCCUCUUCUGGUCAAGAUGGAGGUACAGGACUGGAUUUAACUUCCCAACAAAAACAACAAAAACAAACAAUAUACCUAAAGCAAUGGUUUUCAAAACACUGGACAUCAGGCAAUAAAAGACAGAGAUCCUUGUGAAACAGGAAACAUGAAGGAUAGACAAAUCCUACAGCCCUACGCACUGCUUUGAGAGAGUUUCCAGACUCUGAUGCAGGGAGAGGAAACCCAGGUGGAGCCCAGCGGUCUCCCUGAGUGAGGAGACCAAGCUGAGAGUUUGGGGAGACCAAGACAAGUUCCUAGAACAGAGCACCACAGAGGAGAGAGCUGCACAAAGGCAGAGAAGCCUGGAGAUGUGCAGACGCUCCUUCAGUAUUCAGCAAAGUGCUAAGCAGCACGCGUGUAAGGCCAGGGAUGUAACCACUCAGAAGAGUUAGAGAGAAGAGUAGCUGGUACUCAGGCAUGUCCAGGAACAAUACCUCCUCCCAUCAGCCAGACUGGAGAAACCCAAAAUCCAGGGUAGAUUAAUCAGGAAGCUUUUGCCUCAGUAUUGGAAUAGACUGAACACUGCUGCAGAUCUGCCUAACAAGUCAUAAAAGCUAGACCUGAAAGGAUCAAACUAUUUCCAAGUAAUUUAACUUCAUCCCAGACUCAGGAAAAUUUACAGGGAUACAAAAAGUGUACCUUGUACCCAAACAAGGUAAAAUUUGUGAUUUCUGUCAUCCAAUCAAAUAUUACCCUACAAAGAAGCAGGAAAUUAUGGCCCAGUAUAAGAAGAAUAAUCAAUCAAUUUAAACUGACUGAGAACGUACACAGAUGGAAUUAGCAGAGAAAGAUAUUAAAUUAGUUAUUAUAACUGGAUUGCAAAUGUUUUAAAAGUGAAGUAGAGGCGGGCACAGUGGUUCACACCUGUAAUCCCAGCACUUCGGGAAGCUGAAGUGGGCGGAUGACUUGAGGUCAGGAGUUUGCGACCAGCCUGGCCAACGUGGCGAAAUCCUGUCUCUACUAAAAAUACAAAAUUAGCUGGGUGUGGUGGCAUGCACCUGUAGUCCCGGCUACUCAGGAGUCUGAGACAGGAGAAUCGCUUGAACUCGGAGUUGGAGGUUGCAGUGAGCUGAGAUUGUGCCAUGGCAUUCCAGCCUGGGCAACAGGGCAAAACUCCAUCUCAAAAAAAAAGUGAAAUAGAGACAUAGAAAAUAUUUUAAAGACCCAAAUUGAACUUCUAAAGAUGAAAAAUACAGUGUCUGAGAUGAAAAAUAUACUUAACGGUAUUAACAGUAUUUUAUAACAAUUAUAUCUCAAUGAAGCUGUUAAGAAAAAAAAAGAUUCCAUUGCAUUUGUCCAAGGAGAGAAGAGGAAAUUUGGACACAGAAUGUGUACAGAGGGAAGACCAUGUGAAGACAUUUAGAGAAGAGAACCACCUAUAAGCCAAGAAAAGAAGCCUCAGAAGAAAUCAAGCCUGCUGAUUCAAAUUUUGAGCCUCCAGAUUUAUGAGAAAAUAAAAUUGUGUUGCUUAAUCCGUUUUGUUAUGGCAGCCCUAGAAAACUAAUUCAGUAUCUUUAGCAGUAUUUGAUUUGCUCUUGAAUUUUGUAUAAAUGGAUUCGUAUUCUAA
This 2347-nucleotide long non-coding RNA is filed under the name Homo sapiens (human). RNAcentral's name for it is "HSALNT0311938". The record is from RNAcentral. Lineage: Eukaryota; Metazoa; Chordata; Mammalia; Primates; Hominidae.